Molecule: ribosomal RNA, 1305 nt
Filed under: uncultured bacterium
Lineage: Bacteria
Description: bacterial SSU rRNA
Rfam family: Bacterial small subunit ribosomal RNA
Source: RNAcentral
AUCUAUGCAAGUCUAGGGUUUCGUUUACAAACCCCUGGCAGACGAGUGAGUAAUAUGUAGGAAUCGACCCUUAACACAACCAUAACCUAUCGAAAGAUAGGAUAAUAGUUGAUAGUCCAGUUUACUGGUAAAGCUUCGGCGGUUAAGGACGAGCCUGCACCCCAUCAGAUUGUUGGUAAGGUAAUGGCUUACCAAGUCUAUAACGGGUAGGGGGCGUGAAAGCGUGUACCCCCACGAUGGCACUGAGAUACGGGCCAUACAUCUACGGAUGGCAGCAAGUAGGAAUAUUGCGCAAUGGGCUGUCUAACAGCCUGACGCAGCGACGCCGCGUGUGGGAAGAAGGUUUUCGGAUUGUAAACCAACAUCAAAAAGGGACGGCUAACUUCGUGCCAGCAGCAGCGGUCAUACGGAGGUCCCAAGCAUUAUCCGGUUUCAUUUGGCGUAAAGAGUUCUGUAGGCGGUACUGUAAGUUAUGGGUUAAAUCUCUCGGCUCAACCGAGAAACUGCUUGUAAUACUGCAGCACUAGAGAUAGAUAGGGGAGGGCGGAACGUAUGGUGUAGCGGUGGAAUGCGUUGAUAUCAUACGGAACACCAAAGGCGAAGGCAGCCCUCUGGGUCUAUUCUGACGCUAAGAGACGAAAGCGUGGGUAGCGAAACGGAUUAGAUACCCGUGUAGUCCACGCCGUAAACGAUGUCUACUAGAUUCGUGUUGUCCACUGGGCAAUGCGUGUCGCAGCUAACGCAAUAAGUAGACCGCCUGGGGAGUACGGUCGCAAGAUUAAAACUCAAAGGAAUUGGCGGGGACCCGCACAAGCGGUGGAGCGCCUGCUUUAAUUCGAUGAUCAGCGAAGAACCUUACCAAGGCUUGACAUGCUUCUGCGAACCCUAAGAAACUAGGGCGUCCUUCGAGGGAGAAGCACAGAUGUUGCAUGGCUGUCGUCAGCUCGUGUCGUGAGAUGUACCGUUAAGUCGGGUAACGAGCGCAACCCUUAUUGCUAGUUGUAUCACUCUAGCGAAACUGCCCGGGCAACCGGGAGGAAGGAGAGGAUGACGGCAAGUCGGCAUUGCUCUUACGCCUUGGGCAAGACAGGCGCUACAAUGGCCAGUACAACGAGUCGCAACAUGGUAACAUGAAGCUAAUCUCUUAAAACUGGUCUCAGUUCGGAUUGAGGGCUGAAAUUCGCCCUUAUAAAGUUGGAAUCGCUAGUAAUCACAGGUCAGCAUACUGUGGUGAAUACGUUCUCGGGUCUUGCACACACUGCCCGUCAGGUCAGCAGAGUUGGGAAUACCCAAAAGCUGCAUUUU